AUUUACAUUCCUACAACAUAGAUUUAAUGCAUCAGAUCACAUUAGAACACCGUAGUUAAGCGCGCUCGGGCUAGAGUAGUAUUGGUAUGGGUGUCUACCUAGGAAGUCCUAGUGUUUUACAUG
Molecule: non-coding RNA, 123 nt
Organism: Picea glauca (white spruce)
Lineage: Eukaryota; Viridiplantae; Streptophyta; Pinopsida; Pinales; Pinaceae
Source: Rfam